CUUUUUUUUCCUACCAUUUUGAAUGCACCUGCUCUGAUCGAGUCUUGGAAGCUAACCAGAGUCAAGCCUCGUUAGUAUUUGGAUGGCAGACAACUUGGGAAAAUUUGGGUGAUGUAGGUA
Molecule: ribosomal RNA, 120 nt
Filed under: Cercocebus atys (sooty mangabey)
Lineage: Eukaryota; Metazoa; Chordata; Mammalia; Primates; Cercopithecidae
Source: RNAcentral